Molecule: ribosomal RNA, 534 nt
Filed under: uncultured bacterium
Lineage: Bacteria
Description: bacterial SSU rRNA
Rfam family: Bacterial small subunit ribosomal RNA
Source: RNAcentral
UGGCCUUGACAUACUAAGAACUUUCCAGAGAUGGAUUGGUGCCUUCGGGAACUUAGAUACAGGUGCUGCAUGGCUGUCGUCAGCUCGUGUCGUGAGAUGUUGGGUUUAAGUCCGCAACGAGCGCAACCCUUUUCCUUAUUUGCCAGCGGGUAAUGCCGGGAACUUUAAGGAUACUGCCAGUGACAAACUGGAGGAAGGCGGGGACGACGUCAAGUCAUCAUGGCCCUUACGGCCAGGGCUACACACGUGCUACAAUGGUCGGUACAAAGGGUUGCUACCUCGCGAGAGGAUGCUAAUCUCAAAAAGCCGAUCGUAGUCCGGAUCGCAGUCUGCAACUCGACUGCGUGAAGUCGGAAUCGCUAGUAAUCGCGGAUCAGAAUGCCGCGGUGAAUACGUUCCCGGGCCUUGUACACACCGCCCGUCACACCAUGGGAGUUUGUUGCACCAGAAGUAGGUAGUCUAACCGCAAGGAGGACGCUUACCACGGUGUGGCCGAUGACUGGGGUGAAGUCGUAACAAGGUAAGCGUAGAUGA